This 450-nucleotide ribosomal RNA is filed under the name uncultured bacterium. RNAcentral describes it as "bacterial SSU rRNA". It matches the Rfam family "Bacterial small subunit ribosomal RNA", at positions 354 to 796 of the family's 1533-position model. The record is from RNAcentral.
GUGGGGAAUAUUGGACAAUGGGCGAAAGCCUGAUCCAGCCAUGCCGCGUGUGUGAAGAAGGUCUUCGGAUUGUAAAGCACUUUAAGUUGGGAGGAAGGGCAGUAAGUUAAUACCUUGCUGUUUUGACGUUACCAACAGAAUAAGCACCGGCUAACUUCGUGCCAGCAGCCGCGGUAAUACGAAGGGUGCAAGCGUUAAGCGGAAUUACUGGGCGUAAAGCGCGCGUAGGGGGUUCAGCAAGUUUGAGGUGAAAUCCCCGGGCUCAACCUGGGAACUGCCUCCAAAACUACUGAGCUAGAGUACGGUAGAGGGUAGUGGAAUUUCCUGUGUAGCGGUGAAAUGCGUAGAUAUAGGAAGGAACACCAGUGGCGAAGGCGACUACCUGGACUGAUACUGACACUGAGGUGCGAAAGCGUGGGGAGCAAACAGGAUUAGAAACCCGAGUAGUCC